RNAcentral lists this long non-coding RNA (530 nucleotides) under Oryza brachyantha (malo sina). Its description in RNAcentral is "long non-coding RNA (OBRA_LNC003426)". Lineage: Eukaryota; Viridiplantae; Streptophyta; Magnoliopsida; Poales; Poaceae. The record is from RNAcentral.
UCUGAAAUUUACUCUUCUAGCCUCUAGCACUCAUCACUCAACCAUGGAUGCAUGUAUUGACUAGGUGACCCCUCCUAAUAGUACGGAUUGUCCUACGACUCAAAGCGAAAAAGAAAAACGCCUCCUUUUGCUUCGAUUCUGUUCGCAUUUUUGCCUCAAGGGUCACUUCUAGUUUAACUUGAUUAUUUCACAUUAUGAGCAUGAGUUAAACUUCACUUGAGUUCUCUGCAUUCACAAAGGUUAGUGCACACAUGCUUUGACGAGAAUUGUCAUUAAUCAUUUAAAAUCUACUUUAGGGGCUAGAUGCACUUUCAACUUCGGGAGCGGGAUACCGUGGGCUGGCCCAGCGGGAGGGAGAGAGAAUAGAGAGGAGGAGAGCGAGUGGGCUGAAGUGGACUGGCCCAUGCGGGAGAGGGGGAGGAGACCGAAGGGAGAAGAGGGGAGGAUGGAGUGGGCCAGGAGGAGUUGGGUUGGCAGAAAAGAGAGGGAGGAGUGGGCUGCUGGCACACUCAGCUGGGAGGGGGAAAAAG